GGGGAUUUAGCUCAGCGGUAGAGCGCUUGCCUAGCAAGCGCAAGGCCCUGGGUUCGGUUCCCAGCUCUG
This 69-nucleotide transfer RNA is filed under the name Rattus norvegicus (Norway rat). It matches the Rfam family "tRNA". Rfam says of the family: Transfer RNA (tRNA) molecules are approximately 80 nucleotides in length. Their secondary structure includes four short double-helical elements and three loops (D, anti-codon, and T loops). Further hydrogen bonds mediate the characteristic L-shaped molecular structure. tRNAs have two regions of fundamental functional importance: the anti-codon, which is responsible for specific mRNA codon recognition, and the 3' end, to which the tRNAs corresponding amino acid is attached (by aminoacyl-tRNA synthetases). tRNAs cope with the degeneracy of the genetic code in two manners: having more than one tRNA (with a specific anti-codon) for a particular amino acid; and 'wobble' base-pairing, i.e. permitting non-standard base-pairing at the 3rd anti-codon position. Lineage: Eukaryota; Metazoa; Chordata; Mammalia; Rodentia; Muridae. The record is from Rfam by way of RNAcentral.